Molecule: ribosomal RNA, 439 nt
Filed under: uncultured bacterium
Lineage: Bacteria
Description: partial 16S ribosomal RNA
Rfam family: Bacterial small subunit ribosomal RNA
Source: RNAcentral
CUACGGGGCGCUCCAGUGAGGAAUAUUGCACAAUGGGGGGAACCCUGAUGCAGCAACGCCGCGUGGAGGAUGACGCAUUUCGGUGUGUAAACUCCUUUUAUAUGUCAAGAAAAUGACGGUAGCAUAUGAAUAAGCACCGGCUAACUCCGUGCCAGCAGCCGCGGUAAUACGGAGGGUGCAAGCGUUACUCGGAAUCACUGGGCGUAAAGGGCGCGUAGGCGGGUUGGAAAGUCAGGUGUGAAAUCCUACAGCUUAACUGUAGAACUGCACUUGAAACUUCUAAUCGAGAGUAUGGGAGGGGGAGAUGGAAUUAGUGGUGUAGGGGUAAAAUCCGUAGAUAUCACUAGGAAUACCUAAAGCGAAGGCGAUCUCCUGGAACAUUACUGACGCUAAGGCGUGAAAGCGUGGGGAGCAAACAGGAUUAGAUACCCGGGUAGUC